CGGAUUGCUGUGGCAUGUGAGGCAUGUAUGUUGAAUAUCAUAUGUCUAGAACUCUGUGAUCUAA
Molecule: small nucleolar RNA, 64 nt
Filed under: Mus spicilegus (steppe mouse)
Lineage: Eukaryota; Metazoa; Chordata; Mammalia; Rodentia; Muridae
Description: Small nucleolar RNA SNORD113/SNORD114 family (ENSMSIG00000007437.1)
Rfam family: Small nucleolar RNA SNORD113/SNORD114 family
About the family: The imprinted human domain at 14q32 contains two clusters of tandemly repeated small nucleolar RNAs named 14q(I) and 14q(II) snoRNAs. These two clusters are named SNORD113 and SNORD114 respectively in the HGNC approved gene symbol nomenclature.
Source: Rfam by way of RNAcentral